RNAcentral lists this ribosomal RNA (466 nucleotides) under uncultured bacterium. RNAcentral's name for it is "partial 16S ribosomal RNA". It matches the Rfam family "Bacterial small subunit ribosomal RNA", at positions 28 to 505 of the family's 1533-position model. The record is from RNAcentral.
GACGAACGCUGGCGGCGUGCUUAACACAUGCAAGUCGAACGGAAAGGCCCUGCUUUUGUGGGGUGCUCAAGUGGCGAACGGGUGAGUAACACGUGAGUAACCUGCCCUUGACUUUGGGAUAACUUCAGGAAACUGGGGCUAAUACCGGAUAGGAGCUCCUGCUGCAUGGUGGGGGUUGGAAAGUUUCGGCGGUUGGGGAUGGACUCGCGGCUUAUCAGCUUGUUGGUGGGGUAGUGGCUUACCAAGGCUUUGACGGGUAGCCGGCCUGAGAGGGUGACCGGCCACAUUGGGACUGAGAUACGGCCCAGACUCCUACGGGAGGCAGCAGUGGGGAAUAUUGCACAAUGGGCGGAAGCCUGAUGCAGCAACGCCGCGUGCGGGAUGACGGCCUUCGGGUUGUAAACCGCUUUCGCCUGUGACGAAGCGUGAGUGACGGUAAUGGGUAAAGAAGCACCGGCUAACUACG